RNAcentral lists this ribosomal RNA (1014 nucleotides) under potato plant root bacterium RC-III-46. RNAcentral's name for it is "bacterial SSU rRNA". It matches the Rfam family "Bacterial small subunit ribosomal RNA", at positions 9 to 1017 of the family's 1533-position model. The record is from RNAcentral.
GAGUUUGAUCCUGGCUCAGAUUGAACGCUGGCGGCAGGCUUAACACAUGCAAGUCGAGCGGAGUGAUGGUGCUUGCACUAUCACUUAGCGGCGGACGGGUGAGUAAUGCUUAGGAAUCUGCCUAUUAGUGGGGGACAACAUUUCGAAAGGAAUGCUAAUACCGCAUACGUCCUACGGGAGAAAGCAGGGGAUCUUCGGACCUUGCGCUAAUAGAUGAGCCUAAGUCGGAUUAGCUAGUUGGUGGGGUAAAGGCCUACCAAGGCGACGAUCUGUAGCGGGUCUGAGAGGAUGAUCCGCCACACUGGGACUGAGACACGGCCCAGACUCCUACGGGAGGCAGCAGUGGGGAAUAUUGGACAAUGGGCGCAAGCCUGAUCCAGCCAUGCCGCGUGUGUGAAGAAGGCCUUAUGGUUGUAAAGCACUUUAAGCGAGGAGGAGGCUACUGAAGUUAAUACCUUCAGAUAGUGGACGUUACUCGCAGAAUAAGCACCGGCUAACUCUGUGCCAGCAGCCGCGGUAAUACAGAGGGUGCAAGCGUUAAUCGGAUUUACUGGGCGUAAAGCGCGCGUAGGCGGCUAAUUAAGUCAAAUGUGAAAUCCCCGAGCUUAACUUGGGAAUUGCAUUCGAUACUGGUUAGCUAGAGUGUGGGAGAGGAUGGUAGAAUUCCAGGUGUAGCGGUGAAAUGCGUAGAGAUCUGGAGGAAUACCGAUGGCGAAGGCAGCCAUCUGGCCUAACACUGACGCUGAGGUGCGAAAGCAUGGGGAGCAAACAGGAUUAGAUACCCUGGUAGUCCAUGCCGUAAACGAUGUCUACUAGCCGUUGGGGCCUUUGAGGCUUUAGUGGCGCAGCUAACGCGAUACCUAGACCGCCUGGGGAGUACGGUCGCAAGCCUAAAACUCAAAUGAAUUGACGGGGGCCCGCACAAGCGGUGGAGCAUGUGGUUUAAUUCGAUGCAACGCGAAGAACCUUACCUGGCCUUGACAUANUANGAACUUUCCAGAGAUGGANUGGUGC